GGCGUUGUGGCGGAGUGGUUAUCGCGACAGACUCGAAUUAGUCCCACUACAAUUCGGUUAUCUGUUUCCUUCGGGAGCACAAGUUCGAAUCUUGUCAACGUCG
This is a non-coding RNA of Saccharata proteae CBS 121410, 103 nucleotides long. NCBI's taxonomy places the organism in Eukaryota, Fungi, Ascomycota, Dothideomycetes, Botryosphaeriales, Saccharataceae. The record is from the annotation of a GenBank genome assembly.